Molecule: long non-coding RNA, 261 nt
Filed under: Vigna radiata
Lineage: Eukaryota; Viridiplantae; Streptophyta; Magnoliopsida; Fabales; Fabaceae
Description: long non-coding RNA (VRAD_LNC003074)
Source: RNAcentral
AAUUCUCCAAAGCAGUCUUAGCUUUGGCCCGAGCAUCCUCUGCAGAUUUGGUCAGUUCUUCCACACGGGCGGUUAAGGCAUCAUUGUCUUUCUUUAGAUCAGCAACUUUCUGAUUUGCGGUUUCCAAUUCAACCACUAGUAAAGGCUUAGUGGUCCCAGCAGCGUAAUUCAUGCACACACCUGCGCGCAUCAAAAGUUCAUAACCCAUGUUGUACGCUUCACUGGGGGUCAUGUUUUUAAAGGGGGCUCGUUCCUCAGGGC